GAUGAACGCUAGCGGCAGGCUUAAUACAUGCAAGUCGUGGGGCAGCGCAGUGUAGCAAUACAUGGGCGGCGACCGGCAAACGGGUGCGGAACACGUACGCAACCUUCCUUCAGGUGGGGAAUAGCCCAGAGAAAUUUGGAUUAAUACCCCGUAAUAUUAUGAAAUGGCAUCGUUUUAUAAUUAUAGCUCCGGCGCUUGAAGAUGGGCGUGCGCCUGAUUAGGUAGUUGGCGGGGUAAUGGCCCACCAAGCCUUCGAUCAGUAACUGGUGUGAGAGCACGACCAGUCACACGGGCACUGAGACACGGGCCCGACUCCUACGGGAGGCAGCAGUAAGGAAUAUUGGUCAAUGGACGCAAGUCUGAACCAGCCAUGCCGCGUGGAGGAUGAAGGUCCUCUGGAUUGUAAACUUCUUUUAUCUGGGAAGAAAUCCAUAGUUUUUACUGUGGUUGACGGUACCAGAUGAAUAAGCACCGGCUAACUCCGUGCCAGCAGCCGCGGUAAUACGGAGGGUGCAAGCGUUAUCCGGAUUCACUGGGUUUAAAGGGUGCGUAGGUGGGCAGGUAAGUCAGUGGUGAAAUCUCCGGGCUUAACCCGGAAACUGCCGUUGAUACUAUCU
RNAcentral lists this ribosomal RNA (617 nucleotides) under uncultured bacterium. Its description in RNAcentral is "bacterial SSU rRNA". It matches the Rfam family "Bacterial small subunit ribosomal RNA", at positions 28 to 638 of the family's 1533-position model. The record is from RNAcentral.